Long non-coding RNA from Hydractinia symbiolongicarpus, 5590 nucleotides. RefSeq lists it as uncharacterized. Lineage: Eukaryota; Metazoa; Cnidaria; Hydrozoa; Anthoathecata; Hydractiniidae. The transcript has 5 exons. The record is from RefSeq and is a predicted model, not a curated record.
UGGAGAUGCCUUUUGUUUUGACUGACUGCUCGUAGGGUUACAAGAAGCCGGCAAAGAUUUACCAUCUAAAAAUGAUUUUGAAAAUCUCAAAAACUAAGAAAAUUACAGUUAGAUACGAUGAGACUUUUUUUUUAUUUUGGAAAACAUUAAUGUAGAAUUAAAGAAGCAUUUGUGUUCAAAAAAAUAAAAAUUGUGUUUUUCCAUCAUUUUUGCUAUCCCAAAAGCUACCCAUAAUGGCUUUAAACUUAUAUGACAUUAUAAUCCAAUUCGGACAAAACAAUUUUAUAAAAAUACCAAAACACUAUAUUUCCUUAGAGUUGUUAAAUCAUAAAAAAUAUUACGUCAUAAAUGUUAUGAUUUUACCUGCUUUACAAGGAUAAGGAAGUACAAAAAACUUGACAAGUGUGUAUAAAUGUACAACAGUAUUCUUUAAAAAAGUUUUUAUAAGCUUUGGGUGACUUAUUAAUAUAUAUUGUUACAUUAUUUUUGUGUGUCAUAUUAGUGUGACUAAAUUUUUUACGUAUUUCAAACUUAGGCUUGUGUUUUCCUAUUUCUGCAAAUUUGAUGAUGUCAUUGUCAAAUUUUUUAGCUAAGUUUUUACUUAAGGCCUGAGUAAUGCUUGUUUAAUAUUUAAGGCCCCAGAAAUUUAAUAAAUCUUAUUCAAUGAAUGCUAUACAUAAAGACAUUCACAGCUUGCAGUAAACUUCUUCAAAACGGCACACUGUAAACAUUUUAAAAUAUUGUUCUCCCUUGUAGAUGCACAUAAUCCCUGUAGUAACACGAAAUUGACAAAAAAAGAGCAUGAUGGUGGUUGAACUUAACAAAUAACCACUGUUUUUCCUGCAUAACCUUUGUGGGUUAUUUUAUGCAUUAGAACCAUGUUUUUAUUGCAUAUUACCUUAUUAUGCAGGCUUUUUCAGGAAUAUUUGAGUAAGUGUGCAAUAAUUCCCAUGUGGAAAUCAAGUAACCGUGUGGGGUAAAAUGCACGUGCAAGGGAUGUUACGUGUGCGAUACUGGCUCCGAGGUUAAUCUUUGUUGUGCAUUCAUUUUUCGGUAGAAAAGUGGGGGACGUUUUGAAUUGUGAAUCCCAAACAAGAUGAUCGAGCGUCUACAUAUAGUGACUCUAUAAAUCUUUACUUCCUUUUCUAUCUAAAUCCGAAAUAGUAUGCAUGACUAUACUGUCAUUUUCAUAAAUUUAUUGUUUAUUUUUCAGGUCAUCACAAGCAAAUAGGCAAAUAUAUGCUUCGCUUGGGUUUCGUUUUUUAAUUGUUUGAAUAAAAACACUUGUGGCAUAAAGAAAAAACUCAAUUAAAUUCGGACCUACUAUGGUUUUCAAUUGUUUUAUCAAAUGAAGAAAUUAUCUACAAUUAAAUCCAUGAUAAAAUGUCUGUUCCGCCUGUAAGUGCAGUUUUGCAGACUUGGUUUAUGCGCCUCUAUCAGUGUUCACCUCUGUAUUAGUUAAGCACCGCAUGGCUGGAUUUCUGGUGUAAGACCUGGUUAAGAACGAUGAAGGGGCCGGGCAAAAGAGAAUUAUCUCUACGUAGUUAUUUUAACUAAGUCAGGAGUCAGUGAAUUAGCUAGGAUGGUCAGAUUGGCUAUGAAUAGGCUUGCCCGUGGAUUAGAAGGACCAGAACUAUUCAAUAAUUCUGAGAUUCAAAAGUGUCUGACCAAGACAGAGACGUUUUGUCCGACAAAAGUUUGAAACGAGCUACGGACAUGUCCGCCCGGACUGGAAAUGUGGCGGACAUUUUGUCUGACGAGUCUCCAAAAAUUAUUUCGAGGGCUGCCAUCGCCGCUACAAAAUGGAUAUUAUAGGUUGAUUUUCUGGGUUUUUCUGGUAAAUAAUAAAACUAUUGACAGUUACCACUAUUUAAAAAAGCUAUUUCACUUUCCUGUUUUUGUUUCAAAAUUAAGAUGUAGAUAAAAUAUAAAACUCACUCAACAUCAUUAACAAAAAAUUCAAGAAAAGAAACUUCAUUCUUCUUCUUUUAAUCAAUAGAUUAAUGUUAGAUAAAUGUUUUAAUCAUUAGAUACAUUGUAUGAAACAUUAUAAACUCAACAUUGAGUGAAGACUGCAAAAAAAUGUUUUUUAAUUGAAAAGUUGAAUACAAAAUAAAUAACGUGCAAGCAUGAGGGCUCUUGUUGUUGUUUUUUAUCUUCUAUUGAGCACAACAGUGAUCUUGUUAUUUAAUUUUCUUGCUAUCUGCACUUAUACAGUCCAUAUAGAGGUAUAACCACUGCACGAGGGAACAUAAUAAGUUAAGGCUCAACCUGCUAGUGUAAACAAAGCAUUACUAUAUAUAUAUACGUACCCUUUAUGGUUGAAUUUAGUUGUCUUCUUUGAAAAUUUGUGAGUUUUGACUCCUUCAUCAUUACUAAACACAAGUAAAAGUAUAAUUAUUUUUUGUAGAGCUUAUCAAAUAGUAUAAUUGCUUCAAAGUUCUAUCGAAUAUUGUGUAAACAAUGACUGAAAAAAAGAUGCUCAAAAUAUUUUCUCCACUCACAAUAAUUUCAAAUGGCAAAAUCUAGACAACCAGAGCUAUAUAGUCACCAUCUUUCUUUUAUCUUUGAAAGUGAAAUUUAUGAUAGCCAAAACCAAGUUAGUUUCAAAGCAAUGGCACGGUAGUGGUUAUAACUCUCGCACUUUGUGCGGGAGACCAGGUUUUAACAUGGCCGAAUGAAUGUUGGCAUAGUCCAGGGUUAACCCAAGUUCAGUUUGGUUUUAAGUUUGGUUUGGUUGUAAGUGACGAAACUUGGUACAAAGAAGCCUCCAUAUGGUGUGACUUACUUAGUGGCAAAAUAUUUGGGUUGACAUGUCAUUACAAGAAGUGAUCUGGGCUUUGAAAUGGUGCAAAAAUAUUUGUAAAAAUAAUGUAUUUAAGAUAGAUUAUUAUCCCAAAAAGAUUUUUUUUCAUAAAUUACUUUUUUGUUAUGCGAUAAAGAUCAAAUAUUUGUUCACGCGUAAUCAUAUUGGGUAUCAAUUUUUACUACUCGAUUAUGUUCAAGGUUAUAACUGAUAGCCGACUCAAAGAGGAAAAUGAUUUUUGUAUGUAGCUAAAAGAAUUUUUUGAAAUUUUUCUCCUAUUUCCCAUCAGGAUAUUUUCUUUUUCUUUUUUGUCUUCCAAAGUUGAAUAUAAUUUACUGUGAAAAACAAGGCGAAGCCAGUUUAUAAGUUAACAGCAAAUAAAAAUGUCCUAUCGUCAUAAAACUUUUAUAUUAUCAAAAAAGAAGAAAAUCCAAAACAAAAAUAUUUGACUCCCUAGCUAAAAUAAGAUUAAAGCAAAAGGUUUUUACUGUCGAUCGCCAAGCUAGCACUAGUCGAAAAGAUUUUUGUUUCUAGAGUUUGUUUUUGUUUUACCCAUACUUAAGUGCAUAUAAUUGCAAAUGUGAGGGAACACAUGCAGCAUAAACAGAAGAUGUGAAAAACCUGUUAACAAAUAGUCAUUACCAUAGUGAUCAAUUAUUAUGCAGAAGUAUAAGACUUCUGUAAGAAACUUAAAAGCUCUUUUUCACAGUGUUAAAUUUUUAAGAGUAUCACUUACGUUUUAAAUCUCUUUUACACAAGUAUAAAGGAUGUGGGGUGGAGAGCACGCUUAGCAAAAACAAAAAGUCUUGUGAUCACAAAAAAGCAAACUUGAGAAAUUAGUAGUUUUGUAAAAGAGAUCGCAUUUGUAGGAGAGGGGUCAUUUAAACCUUCAAGUUAUAGGCUUUCUAAAAAUUAUACAUUAAUUAUAUCAAAAUAAAGUUUUGGUGAAUUAAAAGCAUUUUAAAAUAUCACACCUUUUUUGCAUAAACUAUUCUCAGAACUAGUCAUUAAAAAAAGUCAUACAAAAAUAUUAGGAAUAUUUACAGGUGGUGUGAAGAUAAAGGAAAUCGAGUGACAACUUUCGAACCAUGGUCCUGUAGACUAUCUAUUCUGAACAAAGAAUCUUUGCGUUCUUUUCUUCGAAGUGGCUACAAGUACGUGACCGUAUUUUAAUUUUUUUUUGCUACAAUUACGUGAAUGCGUAAAAUGCUGGUCAGCGUACAUAAAAUCACCACUGACGCCCUUUGUGCGUGGUGUGGAGAAUAUUGCAGAAGGUGCGAAAUAACAUUCCUCGUGAGUUAUUUACAAGUGAAAGAAUUGUUGUUGAUUAAAAAAAAUUAAUUUAUUGAAAAUGAAUGUUGGUAGAUUUGUGGUUUUGACGAAUUGCUAAAGGCUAUUAAUGAGCAUGAAAAGUCAACUUUUACACAACUGUAUGUAAGGAGUUCAAGAUCAGUAGAAAGUGCAGCAAAAAGAGCUAGCAAGAAAGUUUUUGGGAAGAGUUGAGGUAUGCAAAAAUAGACUACGCUUGCAUUCAUGGGGGGAAAGAAUUUAAAUCAGCUUCUACUGGGAAGCGCAAACAUAAUACAACUUACAAAAUGGGAUUACAUACCUUAUCAAAGUGAGGGUAAAAAGUUCUGGACAAAAACUGUAUGUGAAAUCAAUUACAGGAGAACAUAAUCAUCAUGUAACUAAAGAAUGUUUUGAUGAAAACCUUUCGCUGCAGGCAUCACAAAUGUUAAAAGUGAAAUUCAAAACCAUAUUUCCAAUCUGUGUGGGAAAAAUGUUAUCUUGAAAGACCUUCAUAACAUGAGCUCAAAAAACAACGAGAGUGGCCGAAAUAAUGUACAACAGCUACUUGAAGAAAUGAAAAGUGUGCCAGGUAAAUUUAAAUGAAAGGGCAACUGUGGUGCUGGAGACAUAAUCUUUUUUUCAAUCGUCACAGCGACGAAACAAUUAAAAAACAUCAUCUGGCACAUUACUUUCAUAGUGGAGCGUUUACUGAAUCACAAUUAGACACAUGCAUGAAGUGGCUGUGUUCUUCAUUCCACACAUUAAAGCUGAACUAUUUGACAAAGCGAAAGUAUACCAUCUUUCCAACCUUGUACCAACGCCGCGCUACUAGCUACGGACUUGAAAAUUGGUAUGGUGGGCAUGGAAACAUGGUUCUAUUGGCCGGUACCGUGCACCGUUCGUCUCGCAAACUAUAAACUACUUAAAUUUUAAGUUAAAGUCUUCUUUAGGCGCUAAAAAAGAGGAGAAAAAGUUGCCAAAGUGGUGCACGGCGAUUUGAUGUAGUGUGAUCCCUUUUCUGUCUAAUUAAAUAAUUAUCUAAACUUGUAAGCAAGUCACAGUGAUGGCGUUUAAUGUUUUGGUAGGUAUGGUUUUUCCCAGCAAAAUUAUGGCAACCCGGUGAUUACUUUUAACUUGAUUACUCGACCCGGGAAUCCUAGUCCGAAACCGGGAUUUUUUGAAAAUGUUGGAUAAGCGAGACAACAGUGUCUUAGCAAUUUUGAAGCUAGCUAAAGUUUGGCAGAGCACGAGGUAAGGGACAAAACAGUAAACUACUUUAUUUUGCAGGGAUUUUAAUAUUAUUUUUUUGCUAUAAGUCACCCUUGAUUUUAAGAAAUUGUUUUAUAGCUUGUAAAACUUCAAACGUGGAUAAUUGUUAUCUUUUCUAAUCUUUUUUCUUCUGUUUUGUAUUUUUCUAUAAAGAGUAGCUAUAUUUUGGUCCUACAGUUUUGCAUUUUGCAUCGUGUUUUGUAGCUAAGUCACUUAAUACUUCUU